Molecule: long non-coding RNA, 259 nt
Filed under: Lathyrus oleraceus (garden pea)
Lineage: Eukaryota; Viridiplantae; Streptophyta; Magnoliopsida; Fabales; Fabaceae
Description: Pisum sativum (pea) long non-coding RNA (PSAT_LNC035200)
Source: RNAcentral
UCACAUUCAGUGUUACAAUUGUCAAAGAUAUGGUCACUAUUCUAGUGAUUGUCCAGAAAAGCAGAAGAAUCAAGAAACUUAUGCAAAGCUGGCAAAACAUGAAGAAGAAGAGACGUUGUUGAUGGUUACAACAAGAGAAGAAGAGAGAUUCAAGGAGUCACUAUUCUAGUGAUUGUCCAGAAAAGCAGAAGAAUCAAGAAACUUAUGCAAAGCUGGCAAAACAUGAAGAAGAAGAGACGUUGUUGAUGGUUACAACAAG